Non-coding RNA from Acanthosepion pharaonis, 111 nucleotides. Lineage: Eukaryota; Metazoa; Mollusca; Cephalopoda; Sepiida; Sepiidae. The record is from the annotation of a GenBank genome assembly.
CUGCCAUAUCACAUCUAAACACCACUUCUCAUACGAUCAUAGAAGUUAAGCAAUGUUGAGCCUGGUCAGCACUUACAUGGACCACUGCUUGGAAAUAUCAGGUGCUGUAAG